AUACGGAGGGUGCAAGCGUUAAUCGGAAUUACUGGGCGUAAAGCGUGCGUAGGCGGUUUAUUAAGUCAGAUGUGAAAGCCCCGGGCUUAACCUGGGAACUGCAUUUGAUACUGGUAGACUAGAGUAUGGUAGAGGGGGGUAGAAUUCCUAGUGUAGCGGUGAAAUGCGUAGAUAUUAGGAGGAAUACCAGUGGCGAAGGCGGCCCCCUGGACCAAUACUGACGCUGAGGUACGAAAGCGUGGGUAGCGAACAGGAUUAGAUACCCUAGUAGUCC
RNAcentral lists this ribosomal RNA (274 nucleotides) under uncultured bacterium. RNAcentral's name for it is "partial 16S ribosomal RNA". It matches the Rfam family "Bacterial small subunit ribosomal RNA", at positions 523 to 796 of the family's 1533-position model. The record is from RNAcentral.